This 332-nucleotide ribosomal RNA is filed under the name uncultured eukaryote. RNAcentral's name for it is "partial 18S ribosomal RNA". It matches the Rfam family "Eukaryotic small subunit ribosomal RNA", at positions 1470 to 1796 of the family's 1831-position model. The record is from RNAcentral.
CCCUUAGAUGUUCUGGGCCGCACGCGCGCUACACUGAUGCAUUCAACGAGUUUCUUCCUGGUCCGAGAGGAAUGGGUAACCUUUUGAAAGUGCAUCGUGAUAGGGAUAGACUAUUGCAAUUAUUGGUCUUCAACGAGGAAUUCCUAGUAGACGUAGUUCAUCAGACUGCAUCGAUUACGUCCCUGCCCUUUGUACACACCGCCCGUCGCUCCUACCGAUUGAAUGGUUUAGUGUGAUCUUCGGAUUGGCGCCACUGCGGCUCAGCAAUGGGCUCGGUGGAUGCCGAAAAGUUGAUCAAACUUGAUCAUUUAGAGGAAGUAAAAGUCGUAACA